Molecule: ribosomal RNA, 443 nt
Filed under: uncultured bacterium
Lineage: Bacteria
Description: partial 16S ribosomal RNA
Rfam family: Bacterial small subunit ribosomal RNA
Source: RNAcentral
CCUACGGGCUGCUGCAGUGGGGAAUAUUGGGCAAUGGGCGCAAGCCUGACCCAGCAACGCCGCGUGAAGGAAGAAGGCUUUCGGGUUGUAACCUUCUUUUCUGUGUGACGAAGAAAGUGACGGUACCUCAGGAAUAAGCCACGGCUAACUACGUGCCAGCAGCCGCGGUAAUACGUAGGUGGCAAGCGUUAGCCGGAUUUAUGGGGUGUAAAGGGCGUUUAGGAGGGAAAGCAAGUCAGAUGUGAAGACUCAGGGCUCAACCCUGAUCCUGCAUUUGAAACUGUUUUUCGUGAGUGCUGGAGAGGCAAUCGGAAUUCCGUGUGUAGCGGUGAAAUGCGUAGAUAUACGGAGGAACACCAGUGGCGAAGGCGGAUUGCUGGACAGUAACUGACGCUGAGGCGCGAAAGCGUGGGGAGCAAACAGGAUUAGAUACCCCUGUAGUC